AGGCUAGGUAGCAAAGAUGGGUAUGCAGAAGAUUGCAAAUCUUUUAUAGAUCGGUUCGAGUCCGAUCCUAGCCUU
RNAcentral lists this transfer RNA (75 nucleotides) under Renouxia sp. Its description in RNAcentral is "tRNA-Cys". It matches the Rfam family "tRNA". Rfam says of the family: Transfer RNA (tRNA) molecules are approximately 80 nucleotides in length. Their secondary structure includes four short double-helical elements and three loops (D, anti-codon, and T loops). The record is from RNAcentral. Lineage: Eukaryota; Rhodophyta; Florideophyceae; Rhodogorgonales; Rhodogorgonaceae.